Molecule: small nucleolar RNA, 143 nt
Organism: Pteropus vampyrus (large flying fox)
Lineage: Eukaryota; Metazoa; Chordata; Mammalia; Chiroptera; Pteropodidae
Source: Ensembl
UGAUGGCUGUUCCUCUCACUACUUGGAGCCUUAGGUAGUGGGCUUUUAGACCAUCAUAUAUCUAAGCUGACUUGUCUCACAGUACCAUGGGGAUGGGUUGGCUGUCCAUUACUGCCUUCUUAUUUUUGCCGAGUCAAACAAUC